RNAcentral lists this ribosomal RNA (468 nucleotides) under uncultured bacterium. RNAcentral describes it as "partial 16S ribosomal RNA". It matches the Rfam family "Bacterial small subunit ribosomal RNA", at positions 28 to 507 of the family's 1533-position model. The record is from RNAcentral.
GACGAACGCUGGCGGCGUGCUUAACACAUGCAAGUCGAACGGAAAGGCCCUGCUUUUGUGGGGUGCUCGAGUGGCGAACGGGUGAGUAACACGUGAGUAACCUGCCCUUGCCUUUGGGAUAACUUCAGGAAACUGGGGCUCAUACCGGAUAGGAGCUCCUGCUGCAUGGUGGGGGUUGGAAAGUUUCGGCGGUUGGGGAUGGACUCGCGGCUUAUCAGCUUGUUGGUGUGGUAGUGGCUUACCAAGGCUUUGACGGGUAGCCGGCCUGAGCGGGUGACCGGCCACAUUGGGACUGAGAUACGGCCCAGACUCCUACGGGAGGCAGCAGUGGAGAAUAUUGCACAAUGGGCGGAAGCCUGAUGCAGCAACGCCGCGUGCGGGAUGACGGCCUUCGGGUUGUAAUCCGCUUUCGCCUGUGACGAAGCGUGAGUGACGGUAAUGGGUAAAGAAGCACCGGCUAACUACGUG